AAAUAGAUUAAAAUAAUUAAGGGCACACAAAGGAUGCCUUGGUAGUAAGAGCCGAUGAAGGACGUGGUAAGCUGCGAUAAGCCUAGAUAAGUUGCAAUCGAACGUAAGAGUCUAGGAUUUCCGAAUGGAGCAAUCUAUUAAGAUGGAGUCUUAAUACGAAAGAGGGAACCGCGUGAACUGAAACAUCUAAGUAACGCGAGGAAAAGAAAGUAAAAACGAUACCCGAAGUAGCGGCGAGCGAAACGGGUCAAGCCUAAACCUUAAAUAUGUCAAGGAUACAGCCGUUGUAUUUAAGGGGUUGAGGGACAGAGUGAUGAAGAACUGUAAGAUAUUCAAUAUAGUGUAUUGAUGAACUAGAAUAGUCUGGAAAGGUUAACCGUAGAAGGUGAAAGUCCUGUAUAGGUAAAUCCUUACACAUAUAACUUUGAUCCCAAGUAACAUGGAACACGAGGAAUUCUGUGUGAAUCAGUGAGGACCAUAUCUCAUAAGGCUAAAUACUCUUACUAACCGAUAGCGCAUAGUACCGUGAGGGAAAGGUGAAAAGAACCCCUGGAGGGGAGUGAAAUAGAACCUGAAAUUGUGUGCUUACAAGCGGUCAGAGCCAGUAAUGGUGAUGGCGUGCCUUUUGGAGAAUGAUCCUGCGAGUUACGUUAAACGGCGAGGUUAAGUAUUACGGAGCCGAAGGGAAACCAAGUCUUAAUAGGGCGAUUUAGUCGUUUGGCGUAGACGCGAAACCUGGUGAUCUAAACCUGUCCAGGAUGAAGCUGUGGUAAGACACAGUGGAGGUCCUAACCCACCGCCGUUGAAAAGUUGGGGGAUGAGGUAGGUUUAGGGGUGAAAAGCCAAUCGAACCAGGAGAUAGCUCGUUCUCUCCGAAAUGCAUCUAGGUGCAGCCUUGAGUGUUCAAUUAUGGGGGUAGAGCACUGAAUGAUCUAGGGGGCAUAUUGCUUACUGAAAUCAAUCAAACUCCGAAUACCAUAAUUUAUAGCUCAGGAGUGAGACUAUGGGAGUUAACUUCCAUUGUCAAAAGGGAAACAACCCAGACCACCAGCUAAGGUCCCUAAUUAUAACUAAGUGGGAAAGGAGGUGGAGAUUCACAAACAACUAGGAGGUUGGCUUAGAAGCAGCCAUACCUUUAAAGAGUGCGUAAUAGCUCACUAGUCGAGAGUCUCUGCGCCGACAAUGUAACGGGGCUAAGUUAUAAACCGAAGCUGUGGAAUCCGUAAGGAUUGGUAGGAGAGCGUUCUGUAGGCCGUUGAAGGAGAAGGGUAACCGACUUUGGAGGUAUCAGAAGUGAGAAUGCAGGAAUAAGUAGCGAGAAAGGGGGCGAGAAUCCCCCUCGCCGGAAGACCAAGGUUUUCAGGGUAAAGCUUGUCUUCCCUGAGUAAGCCGGGACCUAAGCCCAGGCUAUAAUGCGUAGGCGAAUGGAAAACAGAUUAAUAUUUCUGUGCCAGUCAUAUAUUGUGAUGGAGGGACGCAGAAGGGUAUGCGCGCGGACGAACGGAAGUGUCCGUAGAAGUAUGUAGGAUGACUUAGUAGGAAAAUCCAUUAAGUUAUAUCUGAGGUAUGAUAUAUAGUCGUAAGAUGAAUGCGCAAAUCCCACGCUGCCAAGAAAAGCUUCUAAUGUUAAUUUAUGACUGCCCGUACUGCAAACCGACACAGGUGGUCAGGAUGAGAAAUCUAAGGCGGACAGGCUAACUCUCGUUAAGGAACUCUGCAAAAUAACCUCGUAACUUCGGGAGAAGAGGAGCCCUUGGGUGUUAGUAUCCACGCGAUACAAAGCGCUCGAGGGUCGCAGUGAAGAGGCUCAAGCAACUGUUUAACAAAAACACAGGUCUAUGCUAAGCUGGAAGGCGAUGUAUAUGGGCUGACACCUGCCCAGUGCUGGAAGGUUAAGAGGAGGAGUGAGAGCUCCGAAUUGAAGCCCCAGUGAACGGCGGCCGUAACUAUAACGGUCCUAAGGUAGCGAAAUUCCUUGUCGGGUAAGUUCCGACCUGCACGAAUGGUGUAAUGAUUUGAGCGCUGUCUUGACGGGAGGCCUGGUGAAAUUGUAUUACCGGUGAAGAUACCGGUUACCUACAGUAGGACGGAAAGACCCCAUGGAGCUUUACUGUAGCUUGGUAUUGGGUUUUGGCAUUGCAUGUAUAGGAUAGUUGGGAGACUGAGAUGAUAUGGCGCUAGCUGUAUCGGAGUCAUCGGUGGAAUACCAACCAUUCAAUGCUGAAAUUCUAAUCUGUGGUUUGUAGCCACAGAGACAGUGCUAGGUGGGCAGUUUGACUGGGGCGGUCGCCUCCGAAAGAGUAACGGAGGCGUUCAAAGGUUCUCUCAGGUUGGAUGGAAAUCAACCAUAGAGUGCAAUGGCAUAAGAGAGCUUGACUGCAAGACUGACGGGUCGAGCAGAUGCGAAAGCAGGACAUAGUGAUCCGGCGAUUCCGAAUGGAAGGGUCGUCGCUCAACGGAUAAAAGCUACCCUGGGGAUAACAGGCUGAUCCUACCCGAGAGUCCAUAUCGACGGUAGGGUUUGGCACCUCGAUGUCGGCUCAUCGCAUCCUGGGGCUGGAGAAGGUCCCAAGGGUUGGGCUGUUCGCCCAUUAAAGCGGUACGUGAGCUGGGUUCAGAACGUCGUGAGACAGUUCGGUCCCUAUCCACUGUAGGCGUUAGAAUAUUGAGAAGACCUGUCCUUAGUACGAGAGGACCGGGAUGGACAAACCUCUGAUGUACCAGUUGUCACGCCAGUGGCACAGCUGGGUAGUCACGUUUGGAAUAGAUAACCGCUGAAAGCAUCUAAGCGGGAAACUAACUUCAAGAUAAGUAUUCUUUAAGAUACCUUCGAGCCUAGGAGGUUGAUAGGUUGGGGGUGUAAGUACAGCAAUGUAUUUAGCUGACCAAUACUAAUUAUCGAAGUUUUAAUCUAAUUUGUUUUUACUAUAUAGUUUC
RNAcentral lists this ribosomal RNA (2937 nucleotides) under Fusobacterium hwasookii ChDC F206. RNAcentral describes it as "bacterial LSU rRNA". It matches the Rfam family "Bacterial large subunit ribosomal RNA". Lineage: Bacteria; Fusobacteriati; Fusobacteriota; Fusobacteriia; Fusobacteriales; Fusobacteriaceae. The record is from RNAcentral.